This 107-nucleotide ribosomal RNA is filed under the name Nannospalax galili (Upper Galilee mountains blind mole rat). The record is from RNAcentral. Lineage: Eukaryota; Metazoa; Chordata; Mammalia; Rodentia; Spalacidae.
ACUUCAAGUUUUACCACCCUAAAAACCACCUGAUCUCAUCUGAUCACAGAAGCUAAGCAGGCUUGAGCCUGGUUAGUACUUGGAUACGAACAUCAAUACUUUUAGCA